GGUUAAGCGACUAAGCGUACACGGUGGAUGCCCUGGCAGUCAGAGGCGAUGAAGGACGUGCUAAUCUGCGAAAAGCGCCGGCGAGGUGAUAUGAACCUUUGACCCGGCGAUGUCCGAAUGGGGAAACCCAGUGUGUUCCGACACACUAUCGUUAACUGAAUACAUAGGUUAACGAGGCGAACCGGGGGAACUGAAACAUCUAAGUACCCCGAGGAAAAGAAAUCAACCGAGAUUCCCCCAGUAGCGGCGAGCGAACGGGGAGCAGCCCAGAGUCUGAAUCAGCUUGUGUGUUAGUGGAACGGUCUGGAAAGUCCGACGGUACAGGGUGAUAGUCCCGUACACGAAAGCACACUUGCUGUGAACUCGAAGAGUAGGGCGGGACACGUGGUAUCCUGUCUGAAUAUGGGGGGACCAUCCUCCAAGGCUAAAUACUCCUGACUGACCGAUAGUGAACCAGUACCGUGAGGGAAAGGCGAAAAGAACCCCGGCGAGGGGAGUGAAAAAGAACCUGAAACCGUGUACGUACAAGCAGUGGGAGCACCUUCGUGGUGUGACUGCGUACCUUUUGUAUAAUGGGUCAGCGACUUAUAUUCUGUAGCAAGGUUAACCGUAUAGGGGAGCCGAAGGGAAACCGAGUCUUAACUGGGCGUUAAGUUGCAGGGUAUAGACCCGAAACCCGGUGAUCUAGCCAUGGGCAGGUUGAAGGUUGGGUAACACUAACUGGAGGACCGAACCGACUAAUGUUGAAAAAUUAGCGGAUGACUUGUGGCUGGGGGUGAAAGGCCAAUCAAACCGGGAGAUAGCUGGUUCUCCCCGAAAGCUAUUUAGGUAGCGCCUCGUGAACUCAUCUUCGGGGGUAGAGCACUGUUUCGGCUAGGGGGCCAUCCCGGCUUACCAACCCGAUGCAAACUACGAAUACCGAAGAAUGUUAUCACGGGAGACACACGGCGGGUGCUAACGUCCGUCGUGAAGAGGGAAACAACCCAGACCGCCAGCUAAGGUCCCAAAGUCAUGGUUAAGUGGGAAACGAUGUGGGAAGGCACAGACAGCCAGGAUGUUGGCUUAGAAGCAGCCAUCAUUUAAAGAAAGCGUAAUAGCUCACUGGUCGAGUCGGCCUGCGCGGAAGAUGUAACGGGGCUAAACCAUGCACCGAAGCUGCGGCAGCGACGCUUAUGCGUUGUUGGGUAGGGGAGCGUUCUGUAAGCCGUUGAAGGUGGCCUGUGAGGGUUGCUGGAGGUAUCAGAAGUGCGAAUGCUGACAUAAGUAACGAUAAUGCGGGUGAAAAGCCCGCACGCCGGAAGACCAAGGGUUCCUGUCCAACGUUAAUCGGGGCAGGGUGAGUCGACCCCUAAGGCGAGGCCGAAAGGCGUAGUCGAUGGGAAACAGGUUAAUAUUCCUGUACUUGGUGUUACUGCGAAGGGGGGACGGAGAAGGCUAUGUUAGCCGGGCGACGGUUGUCCCGGUUUAAGCAUGUAGGCGGAGGUUCCAGGUAAAUCCGGUACCUUAUUAACGCUGAGGUGUGAUGACGAGGCACUACGGUGCUGAAGUAACAAAUGCCCUGCUUCCAGGAAAAGCCUCUAAGCAUCAGGUAACAUCAAAUCGUACCCCAAACCGACACAGGUGGUCAGGUAGAGAAUACCAAGGCGCUUGAGAGAACUCGGGUGAAGGAACUAGGCAAAAUGGUGCCGUAACUUCGGGAGAAGGCACGCUGAUAUGUAGGUGAAGCCCCUGCGGGUGGAGCUGAAAUCAGUCGAAGAUACCAGCUGGCUGCAACUGUUUAUUAAAAACACAGCACUGUGCAAACACGAAAGUGGACGUAUACGGUGUGACGCCUGCCCGGUGCCGGAAGGUUAAUUGAUGGGGUUAGCGGCAACGCGAAGCUCUUGAUCGAAGCCCCGGUAAACGGCGGCCGUAACUAUAACGGUCCUAAGGUAGCGAAAUUCCUUGUCGGGUAAGUUCCGACCUGCACGAAUGGCGUAAUGAUGGCCAGGCUGUCUCCACCCGAGACUCAGUGAAAUUGAACUCGCUGUGAAGAUGCAGUGUACCCGCGGCAAGACGGAAAGACCCCGUGAACCUUUACUAUAGCUUGACACUGAACACUGGUCCUUGAUGUGUAGGAUAGGUGGGAGGCUUUGAAGCGUGGACGCCAGUCUGCGUGGAGCCAUCCUUGAAAUACCACCCUUUAAUGGCUGGUGUUCUAACGUAGACCCGUGAUCCGGGUUGCGGACAGUGUCUGGUGGGUAGUUUGACUGGGGCGGUCUCCUCCCAAAGAGUAACGGAGGAGCACGAAGGUUAGCUAAUCCUGGUCGGACAUCAGGAGGUUAGUGCAAUGGCAUAAGCUAGCUUGACUGCGAGAGUGACGGCUCGAGCAGGUGCGAAAGCAGGUCAUAGUGAUCCGGUGGUUCUGAAUGGAAGGGCCAUCGCUCAACGGAUAAAAGGUACUCCGGGGAUAACAGGCUGAUACCGCCCAAGAGUUCAUAUCGACGGCGGUGUUUGGCACCUCGAUGUCGGCUCAUCACAUCCUGGGGCUGAAGUAGGUCCCAAGGGUAUGGCUGUUCGCCAUUUAAAGUGGUACGCGAGCUGGGUUUAGAACGUCGUGAGACAGUUCGGUCCCUAUCUGCCGUGGGCGCUGGAGAAUUGAGGGGGGCUGCUCCUAGUACGAGAGGACCGGAGUGGACGCAUCACUGGUGUUCGGGUUGUCAUGCCAAUGGCAUUGCCCGGUAGCUAAAUGCGGAAAAGAUAAGUGCUGAAAGCAUCUAAGCACGAAACUUGCCCCGAGAUGAGUUCUCCCUGAGACUUUAAGUCUCCUGAAGGAACGUUGAAGACGACGACGUUGAUAGGUCGGGUGUGUAAGCGCAGCGAUGCGUUGAGCUAACCGAUACUAAUGAACCGUGAGGCUUAACCUU
RNAcentral lists this ribosomal RNA (2906 nucleotides) under Enterobacter mori. Its description in RNAcentral is "23S ribosomal RNA". It matches the Rfam family "Bacterial large subunit ribosomal RNA". The record is from RNAcentral. Lineage: Bacteria; Pseudomonadati; Pseudomonadota; Gammaproteobacteria; Enterobacterales; Enterobacteriaceae.